GCAAGUCGAGCGGGGGAAGGUAGCUUGCUACUGGACCUAGCGGCGGACGGGUGAGUAAUGCUUAGGAAUCUGCCUAUUAGUGGGGGACAACAUUCCGAAAGGAAUGCUAAUACCGCAUACGUCCUACGGGAGAAAGCAGGGGACCUUCGGGCCUUGCGCUAAUAGAUGAGCCUAAGUCGGAUUAGCUAGUUGGUGGGGUAAAGGCCUACCAAGGCGACGAUCUGUAGCGGGUCUGAGAGGAUGAUCCGCCACACUGGGACUGAGACACGGCCCAGACUCCUACGGGAGGCAGCAGUGGGGAAUAUUGGACAAUGGGGGGAACCCUGAUCCAGCCAUGCCGCGUGUGUGAAGAAGGCCUUAUGGUUGUAAAGCACUUUAAGCGAGGAGGAGGCUACUAGUAUUAAUACUACUGGAUAGUGGACGUUACUCGCAGAAUAAGCACCGGCUAACUCUGUGCCAGCAGCCGCGGUAAUACAGAGGGUGCGAGCGUUAAUCGGAUUUACUGGGCGUAAAGCGUGCGUAGGCGGCCAUUUAAGUCAAAUGUGAAAUCCCCGAGCUUAACUUGGGAAUUGCAUUCGAUACUGGAUGGCUAGAGUAUGGGAGAGGAUGGUAGAAUUCCAGGUGUAGCGGUGAAAUGCGUAGAGAUCUGGAGGAAUACCGAUGGCGAAGGCAGCCAUCUGGCCUAAUACUGACGCUGAGGUACGAAAGCAUGGGGAGCAAAC
Molecule: ribosomal RNA, 722 nt
Filed under: uncultured bacterium
Lineage: Bacteria
Description: bacterial SSU rRNA
Rfam family: Bacterial small subunit ribosomal RNA
Source: RNAcentral